CUCAACGUGGUGUAUAGCACGAAAAACCUUUCGAUACAAGAUAGGGCCGUUCACAUGAAAGAAAAAAAUGAAUCCUUUCUUAUCUUCUUUCCCGAGAGGGAAAGAGAAAGAGGGUCUUAUGGAGGGAGGGGGGAGGGGAAAGGCUUGGGCCUACCUAUCCCGAUAGGACCCCAUAAAAGAACGGGAGCUGUUGAGAGGUUCCAUAUUGCCGAGACGAAGGACAGCACUUCUGUACGUGAUCGUAGUAUGUCACGUCGUCUCGUCCCCGCUGCAUCGAAGAGUACCUAUGCACUAUGUUCCGGUUCACUGAUAAGGAAGAUAGCGUUGGGGUGGGGGUCUACGAUGUGAUACUAAAGUAUGACCGGGGGAGAUACAUGCUAACUAUGGGUAGGAAGCAGGAACCAUUAUGUAAAAAAUUUCGGGGGGUUACAGAUCUCUUAUACUACCAUCGAUCAACAGAGCGGAACGACCAGAAAAAGAAGUUA
Molecule: long non-coding RNA, 485 nt
Filed under: Nicotiana benthamiana
Lineage: Eukaryota; Viridiplantae; Streptophyta; Magnoliopsida; Solanales; Solanaceae
Description: long non-coding RNA (NBEN_LNC022891)
Source: RNAcentral